GGGGAUAUGGCGGAAUUGGUAGACGCAACGGACUUAAAAUCCGUUGAUUUCAAAAGUCGUGAGGGUUCAAGUCCCUCUAUCCCCA
RNAcentral lists this transfer RNA (85 nucleotides) under Xylochloris irregularis. RNAcentral's name for it is "tRNA-Leu". It matches the Rfam family "tRNA". From Rfam's summary of the family: Transfer RNA (tRNA) molecules are approximately 80 nucleotides in length. Their secondary structure includes four short double-helical elements and three loops (D, anti-codon, and T loops). Lineage: Eukaryota; Viridiplantae; Chlorophyta; Trebouxiophyceae. The record is from RNAcentral.